This 465-nucleotide ribosomal RNA is filed under the name uncultured bacterium. RNAcentral describes it as "partial 16S ribosomal RNA". It matches the Rfam family "Bacterial small subunit ribosomal RNA", at positions 28 to 507 of the family's 1533-position model. The record is from RNAcentral.
GACGAACGCUGGCGGCGUGCUUAACACAUGCAAGUCGUACGGUAAGGUCCUUUUGGGGGUACACGAGUGGCGAACGGGUGAGUAACACGUGAUUAACCUGCCCCCAACUUUGGGACAACGCUAGGUAACUGGUGCUAAUACUGGCUAAGUGCUCCUGCUGCAGGGAGGGGGUUGGAAAGCUCAGGCGGAUGUGGAUGGAUUCGCGGUCUGUCUGCUUGUUGGUGGGGUAGUGGCAUACUAAGGCGGCGACGGGUAGCCGGCCUGAGAGGGUGACCGGCCACAUUGGGACUGCGAUACGGCCCAGCAUCCUACGGGAGGCAGCAGUGGGGAAUAUUGCACAAUGGGCGCAAGCCUGAGGCAGCAACGCCGCGUGCGGGAUGACGGCCUUCGGGUUGUAAACCGCUUUCAGCAGGGACGAAGCUUUUUGUGACGGUACCUGAAGAAGAAGCACCGGCUAACUACGUG